Long non-coding RNA from Nothoprocta perdicaria, 520 nucleotides. RefSeq lists it as uncharacterized. The record is from RefSeq and is a predicted model, not a curated record. The transcript has 2 exons. Lineage: Eukaryota; Metazoa; Chordata; Aves; Tinamiformes; Tinamidae.
UGCUCCAGAAGGAAAGGGCAGCUCUGAAGGACAUUAGUCCUGAGGAAGUGCAAUAGACCACCUCAGCCUGCUUGAUCUUUCCAACCCCAGACUCUGCCGCUUUUAAUAUAGGCAGAGGGCUGGCAGGUGGGACAUGUGAGAGCAGAAGAGGUGGGUCCAUGGGAAGAGGACAGCCCGCAGCUCCAGUAUUCAGGCACCAGAUGGCAUUUCUUUGGGAACCCGAAGGAUUUCUGCUCUAGGGCUUGUUUUCAGGCUUAGGACAUGUGAGGAARGAAGAGCCUGAAGAGGCAGAUGGAAUGGAAGAAAAGGCAAAGAGGCUGUAGACAAGUGGACAGGCUGCUUAAAAGAUUGACUAUUGCAUGCUGUGUGGAAAGAUUGAAUGAAAGAUUGYACUUAUGUGCACCAGAACUGCACACCUCUCUUCCCUGCAUAUGUUAAAUGGCAUUUGUUACUCCUUAGGAGCCCUCCUUUAUGUAAACUUCCGCAUAGCUCUGUACUACAUCCUUAUGGCCCCAUCUGC